CAAUACGAGCGGCAGACGGGUGAGUAACGCGUGGGAAUCUACCCAUCUCUACGGAACAACUCCGGGAAACUGGAGCUAAUACCGUAUACGUCCUUUUGGAGAAAGAUUUAUCGGAGAUGGAUGAGCCCGCGUUGGAUUAGCUAGUUGGUGGGGUAAUGGCCUACCAAGGCGACGAUCCAUAGCUGGUCUGAGAGGAUGAUCAGCCACACUGGGACUGAGACACGGCCCAGACUCCUACGGGAGGCAGCAGCA
Molecule: ribosomal RNA, 252 nt
Filed under: uncultured Mesorhizobium sp.
Lineage: Bacteria; Pseudomonadati; Pseudomonadota; Alphaproteobacteria; Hyphomicrobiales; Phyllobacteriaceae
Description: partial 16S ribosomal RNA
Rfam family: Bacterial small subunit ribosomal RNA
Source: RNAcentral